UACAGAGGGUGCAAGCGUUAAUCGGAGUGACUGGGCGUAAAGGGCACGUAGGUUGAAGGAUAGGUGAGCUGUGAAAAGCCUGGGCUCAACCCAGGUCGUGCGGCUCAAACCAUCCUACUAGAGGCAAGUAGAGGGUAGUGGAAUUCCCGGAGUAGCAGUGAAAUGCGUAGAUAUCGGGAGGAACAUCAGUGGCGAAGGCG
This 200-nucleotide ribosomal RNA is filed under the name uncultured bacterium. RNAcentral's name for it is "partial 16S ribosomal RNA". It matches the Rfam family "Bacterial small subunit ribosomal RNA", at positions 524 to 723 of the family's 1533-position model. The record is from RNAcentral.